This 66-nucleotide transfer RNA is filed under the name Paraphanius mento. RNAcentral's name for it is "tRNA-Cys". Lineage: Eukaryota; Metazoa; Chordata; Actinopteri; Cyprinodontiformes; Aphaniidae. The record is from RNAcentral.
AGCCCUGAGGUGUUCCACAUAUAAGAUUGCAAAUCUUAAGUUGCAGAGUCGCAUCUGCCGGGGCUU